AAUUAGUUUAUCCUACCCAAUUUCAAACCCUAAAUUAUUUCUACCUCUCUCUCUCUCUCUCUCUAUCCAUUCUCACCUCUCACUCUCUGUCUUUUUCUCCGCCACCAACCGAUUUGAGAUCGUCGAAGUGAAACCACACUAAGUCGUCGGAGUGAAGUGGUGUCAAUGUCUACGACCCAUCACCCCUCUCUAAUCAAAUGCAUAGCUCUCCUCCCUCUCCUGUAUCUAUAUCUACCUGCUCUGAUUGUAUCUGUCGAUUGUUGGAAAUCCAAUUCUCACACCCUCUCUCUCCACCGCCAACUGAUCUGAGAGUUUCGGAGUGAAACCACUCGAAGCGGUGGAAGUUAAGGGAUGUCGCUGUCGCGAUCCCGUCACCCCUCUCUAAUCCAACGACGUCGCUUUCCUUCCUCUCAUCUCCUCUUCUCUAUUGUAUCUAUUUUUGGAUUUGAUUUGUUGGUUUUUUAGGAGGCAACUUUCUUGGAUCUUGUUUCUAUUUCGAAUACUAAUUUGUUGGUUUUUUAGGAGGCAACUUUCUUGGAUCUUGUUUCUAUUUCGAAUCUAAUUUGUUGGUUUUUUGUGCGGCGAUUUUCUUGUAUUUUGUUGGUGGCAAUAGUGGUGGUGGUUUGUUGGUGGCUGUGGUGGUGGUGGUGAUUUUGUUGGUGUGUUGGGUAUCGAAUGUUGUGCCUAUGAUCUUGAAACUUGUUG
Molecule: long non-coding RNA, 705 nt
Filed under: Olea europaea subsp. europaea
Lineage: Eukaryota; Viridiplantae; Streptophyta; Magnoliopsida; Lamiales; Oleaceae
Source: RNAcentral